This 440-nucleotide ribosomal RNA is filed under the name uncultured soil bacterium. Its description in RNAcentral is "bacterial SSU rRNA". It matches the Rfam family "Bacterial small subunit ribosomal RNA", at positions 26 to 518 of the family's 1533-position model. The record is from RNAcentral.
AGAACGAACGCUGGCGGCAUGCCUAACACAUGCAAGUCGAACGAGACCUUCGGGUCUAGUGGCGCACGGGUGCGUAACGCGUGGGAAUCUGCCCUUGGGUACGGAAUAACAGUUAGAAAUGACUGCUAAUACCGUAUAAUGACUUCGGUCCAAAGAUUUAUCGCCCAGGGAUGAGCCCGCGUAGGAUUAGCUUGUUGGUGAGGUAAAGGCUCACCAAGGCGACGAUCCUUAGCUGGUCUGAGAGGAUGAUCAGCCACACUGGGACUGAGACACGGCCCAGACUCCGUACGGGAGGCAGCAGUGGGGAAUAUUGGACAAGUGGGACGAAAGCCUGAUCCAGCAAUGCCGCGUGAGUGAUGAAGGCCUUAGGUGUAAAGCUCUUUACCGGGAUGAUAAUGACAGUACGGAGAAUAAGCUCGACUAACUCGCGCAGCAGCCGC